RNAcentral lists this ribosomal RNA (443 nucleotides) under uncultured bacterium. RNAcentral describes it as "bacterial SSU rRNA". It matches the Rfam family "Bacterial small subunit ribosomal RNA", at positions 29 to 506 of the family's 1533-position model. The record is from RNAcentral.
ACGAACGCUGGCGGCAGGCUUAACACAUGCAAGUCGAGCGCAAUACUAUCUUCGGAUAGUGGAGAGCGGCGGACGGGUGAGUAACGCGUGGGAACCUACCCUUUGGUUCGGAAUAACUUUGGGAAACCGAAGCUAAUACCGGAUACGCCCCGUAAGGGGGAAAGAUUUAUUGCCGAAGGAUGGGCCCGCGUUGGAUUAGGUAGUUGGUAGGGUAAUGGCCUACCAAGCCUACGAUCCAUAGCUGUUCUGAGAGGAAGAUCAGCCACACUGGGACUGAGACACGGCCCAGACUCCUACGGGAGGCAGCAGUGGGGAAUCUUGGACAAUGGGGGAAACCCUGAUCCAGCCAUGCCGCGUGAGUGAUGAAGGCCCUAGGGUUGUAAAGCUCUUGCGACGGGGACGAUAAUGACGGUACCCGUAGAAGAAGCCCCGGCUAACUUCGU